This 66-nucleotide transfer RNA is filed under the name Kryptopterus vitreolus. RNAcentral's name for it is "tRNA-Cys". It matches the Rfam family "tRNA". Rfam says of the family: Transfer RNA (tRNA) molecules are approximately 80 nucleotides in length. Lineage: Eukaryota; Metazoa; Chordata; Actinopteri; Siluriformes; Siluridae. The record is from RNAcentral.
GGCUCUGUGGUGUAUUACAUAUUGGAUUGCAAAUCCAAAGACGCAGACUGACACCUGCCGGGGCUU